RNAcentral lists this ribosomal RNA (546 nucleotides) under uncultured bacterium. RNAcentral describes it as "bacterial SSU rRNA". It matches the Rfam family "Archaeal small subunit ribosomal RNA", at positions 728 to 1276 of the family's 1478-position model. The record is from RNAcentral.
AAUAGAUACCCAGGUAGUCCUAGCCGUAAACGAUACUCGCUAGGUGUCGGCCACGGUGCGACCGUUGUCGGUGCCGUAGGGAAGCCGUGAAGCGAGCCACCUGGGAAGUACGGCCGCAAGGCUGAAACUUAAAGGAAUUGGCGGGGGAGCACCACAACGGGUGGAGCUUGCGGUUUAAUUGGAUUCAACGCCGGAAAUCUUACCGGGACCGACAGCAAUAUGAAGGCCAGGCUGAAGACUUUGCCGGAUUAGCUGAGAGGUGGUGCAUGGCCGUCGUCAGUUCGUACUGUGAAGCAUCCUGUUAAGUCAGGCAACGAGCGAGACCCACGCCCACAGUUGCCAGCGUACUCUCUGGAGUGACGGGUACACUGUGGGGACCGCCGCUGCUAAAGCGGAGGAAGGAAUGGGCAACGGUAGGUCAGUAUGCCCCGAAUAUCCCGGGGCUACACGCGAGCUACAAUGGUUGGUACAAUGGGUAUCUACCCGAAAGGGGACGGGAAUCUCUAAACCAAUCUUAGUUCGGAUUGAGGGCUGCAACUCGCCUCA